CUACACCCGUCUACAAGUCUCCACCACCACCAACUCCCGUCUACAAGUCACCACCACCACCAGUGAAGCCAUACCAUCCUACACCCGUCUACAAGUCUCCACCACCACCAACUCCCGUCUACAAGUCGCCACCACCACCAGUGAAGCCAUACCAUCCUACACCCGUAUACAAGUCUCCACCACCACCAACUCCCGUUUACAAGUCACCACCACCACCAGUGAAGCCAUAUCAUCCCUCACCAACACCAUACCACCCUACACCAGUAUACAAGUCUCCACCACCACCAACUCCCGUUUACAAGUCCCCACCACCACCAGUAAAGCCAUACCACCCUUCACCAACACCAUACCAUCCUAAACCAGUAUACAAGUCUCCACCACCACCAACUCCAGUCUACAAGUCUCCACCACCAACCCACUAUGUUUACUCCUCUCCCCCUCCUCCCUACCAUUACUAAGAAGUGAGUUUACUAUAUCUGAGGUAAUUAAGAUGAACUUAAACCUUUACAAACAUAUAUAACUAAAAUGCAAUGCAAUAAUAAGUUGCACAAUUAUUUCUUCUCUUUUGGUUAGUUUCUUUUAUAUGUUCUCAUUCACAAUAUUAUAUUGUUAUGCAGGAAAAGCAUAAUGUUGAGCUGAAAGAAAGGCAUUUUCCAUUUUCAAGAAGAAAAUUAUAGUAAAUAAUAAGGCUUACAGAAGAUCAGACGAAGUUCUUUUGUAGCUUCAUGUUAUCUAACUUGUCUUAGUGAUAUAUUGUUUUUGUACUCUAUUUUUAUAUAUUACUUUUAUGUGUCUUUGUGUAUGUUUGCUCACUUUCAAUCUUCUUGCAAAAUGCAGAGAUUAAUUAUGAGAUUAUCAUGAAUAAAAUAAGUUAUUACUACUCCCAUAUGUUUUAAUUAACUUCUCAUCACAAUAUAUAUUACCUUUGUUUUCAUUUUAUCAUGUGCUCAUAUUUAAUUUAUAAAAUUAUAAUGUGAACACAACAUUUACAAUUUUUUUCAAAUAGAACUAUUUAUAUAUAUAUAUAUAUAUAUAUAUAUAUAUAUAUAUAUAUAUAACAGGAUGCUCAAAUUAAUAACCAACGAAUUUCAUGUACUUAUGGUUAUAAUUCAAUCAAAUUCGAGUAUUGUAGUCCAUUUACGAUAACAAAAUAAAAAAAUUAUUUAAUAAUCACAUAAUACGUUGUUAAACUUUUGUAAAGUAUAUGAUUUCAGAAGCUCAAACAAAAAAUUACAAUCCAAAUAUUUUAAAAAUAAUAGUUUAAAAUUUUCACGCAUCACAUAAAUAUAUAUACUUACUCCAAGCCUAUCCUAUCCGAAAUUUUCAGCUAUUGAUGUAGCCUCUUGUCGAUACUACUAGUCUUCUCGCUACCUACUAGAAAAAUUCCAUCAAAAUAGAUUGAAUCGACGACCUAUACUUCAACUAAAGGCACGAGGGCGUAGCGAGCUUAACUAUUAUCGUAAUAUAAGAUGAAAUCCACCCAUUUUGAUAUCACAUACACGUCUUUAAAACUGAUAAAAUAAUGAGGUCUACUCUUAGUCAAAAUUAAAUGAUUGUAGACCACAUCUACAGUUCCCAAUUGUCAACAAUUCGAUCCUCCGCGUUUGUGGUAGGUUUCACUUUCAUUUCUUCGGUUCGAUUUUAUCAAAUUUUAAUUUGAUUCUUUAAUUUUUAAUUUUGGAAAAAUGUGUAUGGAAUGUUGAAUCGAAUUAAUUUGUUUAAUUAUCUUUUUAAAAAAUUAGUUUAAAACAAAAAUUGAAUUUCAAUAAAAUUUAAUGAAAAAAUUAUUCAAAUUGAUUAGGUAACCUUUUAAGUCAAAUAUCAAUAGUUGAAUAAUUUUAUAGGUAAAAUAUUCAUAAUUGAGUGACUUUGAGAUCAUACAAGAAAAUUGAGUGACUUUAUAAGAGAAAAAAUCUUAGUUAAAAUAAUUUUUUAUGAGAAAAAAUUCUUAAGUAACUUUAUGGCAUUAUAAAAAAAAAUUAACUCCUCUUUAAAUUAGAAUUACAAAAUUAAAAGUAAGUUCCAUUUUAAAGAUAAGGACAUUAUUAGUAAAAAUAAUUGGUGAACAUUUUCCAAUGAAAAAAUAAUAUUUUUCUAAAAUAGCUAAUAGAUGAUAAUUCGUUUCUUAGGCGUAAAAAUGUUAGGACAUGUUAGCCUCACUCAGUUGAAUAAAUUGCUCACCAAGAACAUAAUCAUUGAAUAUCCUAAAACAAAGUUUAAAAAUGAAUUAAAAAAAAAAUCAGUAAUAAAAAAAUACAUGCAAACUAUCUACAAAUGUAUUAUUAUUAAUUUUUAAAUAAAAAAGAGUAAAUGAAAGAGAAUAGAAGAUCUUUGACUUGUUAAUUAAGACAAAUAUUUGUCUAAUAUAAGUAUGUCGGUAAUAACAAUGUAGACUAAGAUCUGUACUUGUUUAUAUAUCCAUAUCCCUUAAUGUUAGGACCAUUAAAAUUAUUAAUUUAGUUUAACUAAUUAAUGGGAUCUUAUAAAUACAUUAAUAAUAUUACUGUUGUCGGUGAUUAAGUUAAUGCUAAUACUUAAUUGUUUUUUUUUUCCAAUUAAAAUGUCAAAGUCGUUAGAUGAACCAAAAUGGAAUCGUCCAUGAAGAUGGUACCAGAGUACAAUUAUUGAAUAAUAUCUUUUUUUUUUAACUUCAAAAAUUAAAGUGGAAUUCAAUUACCUACUUUAUAAAUGUAUGGCAACUUGGCAAUAAUUCAUUAAAUUUCAGGAAGAACAAAAACCAUCGAUAAUUGAGAUUAAUUUAAGAGAUAAAUGUCAAAAACACAUUUAAUAUAUUACAUAUUUUAAAAAAAUUCAUACUUCACCCCGUCUCUUUUCGAAAAAAUUGAUAUUAUUUUAUUUUUUUAAAAAUAGGAAUUCUAUCCAUCCUAUAUAACCUCCUGUACCUAAUUUUUUUAUAUAUAUUUUUGUGAGUUUGUAUUAGAUAUGUACAUAUAUUUUUAGGAAUUCUUUCUACUUGUGUACCAAAUAUAAAGUAAAUAAAACAUUUAUUUUUUAAAAAAGUCUUGAGGCCGUGGCAAAUAAAAAUUAUUUUCAAUAUGUUUAUAUCUAACACAAAAGGAGAAAAAGUUCGAAAGCGGACGGUUAGGUGGGGUAGGUAUAUUUUUUUUAAAGCAAAUUAGUAUAUAUAUUUUUUUGUGUGUGUGGGGUUGGGGGGGGGGGGGGGGUAAAAAAAAGUUAAAUACCUUUACAAAAGAAAUUUAAACAAAAAAAACUAAAAAAAAAAAGGGUGGGGGGAGGGUUGGACGGUUAGAGAAAGUGAUGGAGUGGGUAGGGAGGCGAGCAAAAUUGGGAGGGAGACGAGCAAACUUUGUACGUAUCGUAACCCAGAACAUGUGAAUCAAGCAAGAUACACACUAGGUACAUGUAUUUGUACGUGUCUAGAGGAAUUCACAUAUAUCUGGGAUAUCAUAUUCUUGGAAGAAUGACGAGCAAAAUGGAACAGAGGCAAGGAAGGAAAACGAGAUAUACUAUGUAUCCCAAAUACAUGCGAAUUCAAUAAAUAUAAUGUAUCUAGAACAAAUUACACCUAAAUUUGAUCGAGAUAUUCGAGAUACAUGUAUCUCAAGGCACCAAAAUCUGAUUUUUAUAUAUAUAUAUAUAUAUAUGAAAGUUUAUGUGAUCGAUAAAACUAAUAGCUUAGUAUUUCAAUGGUAUCAUUUCUACACAAAAUAGUUCUACCUCAAUUUAUGACAAAAAUGAUUUUAUUUAUAUGAGAUCAAAUUUAUAGGGUUUCGAUGACCAUGAUAAAACAGGAGAAUGUACAAAAAUACUUAAGUCCUUGUUUAUAAUAUACCAUUUUGCCAAAAUAUUUGUAGCUCGAUUAACUUUCUUAUAGAAAUGUUGAACCUUUCAAAUAAUAGUGCUUGAUAUAAUGAUAUAUUGUAAAUAUGAAAAGUGAUGUUUUUCAUUUUCCAAAGAAUACCACUAAAAUAGUUCUUUCUAACAUCAUGUAUAAAUUUUUAUGCAAGUAAAACAUUUUAAAUAAUAAUCUACGAAACUUGUUAUUUGAUCCUCAUAGAUAUUAUAACAUUUAGUUUUAGUGCUUAUGAAAAUAAUUUUGUUAGAACAAUAUUUCCAUUAUACGUAUAAAAAGUUCACAUUGUUCUUUGUUUUUAAAGAUACAAUAUCCUAAUUAUUUCAUUGUUAUUCCAUCUCUAUUAUUCAUUGAGCAUAAUUUGAAUAAUUUAUUUUUAUCAUAUUAUUACCAAUAUAAUCAUAGAAAGUCAAAUAAGAAAACUAAUUUUCCUUGUUACUAUUUCUUUGAUUAAUUGGAAUUAGAGACGACUAGUUAUUAUUAUGAGCAACUUUCACAUAUAGCAAACAAAAAAUUUAUAUUUGUAUGCUAAUUAAGCUCCAUAGCAAACAUAAAACUGUAUAAUUUGCUAUACAUAUACAAUUGUAUAAUUCGCUGGCCUAUUUCGCUGCAAUAGUAUAAUUUGUUUUGCAUACAGUUGAAUCGAAUUAAAAUGUAUGUAUAUUGCAUAAUUAUAAGUGUAUAGCAAGAAGAUAUAUGUUUUUCUCGCUUUAUACAAAAACAGAAACACAAUAUAUACACUUUUGUUGUAUAAAGCUAGAGAAAAUUGUAUUUCACUGCAAUUGUAUAAUUCGCAAUUGUAUAAUUCGUUGGCCUUUUUCUCUGCAAUAUUUGAAGUAAAAUGUUUGCAAAUUGUGUAAUUAAGUGUAUAACAUGAAGAUAUACAUUUUUGCAUGUGUAUAUACAAUUUUCUCUCGCUUUAUACAAAACAGAAACAGAAUUAUACACUUCUGUGUAUAAAGCGGGAGAGGCGAGCGAGAAUGGAGAGUGGCGAGCGAGAUUUUUGGGAGAGAGACGCUGGCAAAUUUUAGCUAAUGUUUGCUAUGGAGCAAAAUUAAAUCAAAUCCUAGCUAUUCCAUUUAAUUUAGGUUAUUAGUUUGCUAUUAUAUACAAUUUUUUCUAUUAUUAUUAAUCGGAUGCAUUUCACUCCGCACAUAAAUAACUUCCAAUAAUUUAAUAUUAAUUAUAUAUGCUCUAUUAAAUAAUUUUUAAAUAUAAAAUAAUAUUAUGGUAGAUUUGGGGGUGUCAAAAUCAAGUCAAUUUGUCAAACUCCCCUAUUCCAUUUAAUUUAUCAACUUUAACUCAUCUCAACCUAAUUUAGUUUAAUUCAUAUUUAAACAGUGAAUUGAUAUAUAAUUCAAAUUAGCUUAUCAAAAUAUUUUUAAAAUAAUAUUUUUAAAAUUUGAUAUGUUAUAUAUAGUCGUAAUAAAGAAAAAAAUAAACUUAUUAGGUGCUAAAAAAUUUUAAAAAGAGCAAACUAAACAACUAAAUUUUAGUAAAAAUUGAAGGGGUUAUAUUAGAAAUCGAAUUUAACUUAAUUAUGUCCAAUUCAUUUCAAUUCAAAUAGACAAUAGCUAAUGAUCCAUUCAUUUGUUAACUCAUUAAAAUUCAAUCGGUUCAAAUUCAGGUCAACUCUCCUAUACCAAACUUCUAGUAGAUCUUAAUCAAUAAAAAUUUGGACACGAAAACAAUUCAUUCAUUUCAUCCAUCAAAUUAUUAAUAAGUGACACCAUCUUAGCGACCCAGUUCAUUGUAUUAUAUUAAGAAAAAAUAACUUAAAUACACAAUUAUAAGUUUUAUAUUUUCUAAUUUUCCCUUCUUUUUUUUAAAUAUUACAUAAUUUCCUUUUUUUAAAAUUUUAGUGUAAGUUUAUAGAUACAUUACAUUCUCUCUCCUAUAGUACACAAUUACCCAUUUUAAUGCCUAUUUAUUCUCCAUUAAAACACUCAACCUUUUAAAUAAAAGACCUAAUUUUGAAUUUCAAAAUUCAAAAAAUUUCAAAUUUCAAAAAUCAGGUUCUCCCGUUUUUCUUACUCCAUCAAGUUUCACUUCCUUUUUUUCCAUAAUCAUCUUCCUUCUUCUUAACCUAGCAGAAUUUAUUGGUUUCUUCUUUUUAUUCUUAAUCCAUCAUCUUUUUCUUCUUAAUCUGUAAUCGUCUUAACCCAAUAUCUUUUUAUUAUUAAUCCAUCAUCAGUUCGUCUUUUCUUCUCUUUUUUCUUUUUGUUAAUUGUUCUAUUACAUUAUAGUAAUGGAUCCGUUAAUUAAUAGAAGGAUAUAUGAUUCCGACGAUGAAAAUUGGAAAGAAAAUAGGAAAAAGUUUUUGCAUGAUCCUAUGAAUCUUCAGAAGGAUUCAAACAAAGACUCUGGCGAAACAUCAAAAUCAAAGGUUAUCAAAAUACAACAAAAAAAGAAAAAAGAAGCAGCAAACAUUGUUGUUAGGCCUACAUUGUCUCGGGUUAGUAUUUUGGUACUUAAAACUGUUGUUGAAAUUAGUAAAAAUUUUAAGGAAUCUAGUGUGCUUGCCGAUACAUUUGAAUAAGUGUGUAUAGUGUUUUAGAGGUGAAUUGAUACAUGAAUUUAUUGUGUAUCAUAAUAUUUUAUAUGUAUCAUGAAGUUUUGAAAAUUGUUAUAAUGUAUCAUUCAAUAAGUUUAGUAAAUACGUCAUCAACUGUGCUUGAUGAUACAUAUAGAAUCAGUGUGUACGGUGUUUAGUCAAUUCACUGAUACAUGUAGGAGAUAUGUAUCACAUGUUUUGCAUAUAGUAUGAAUUUCUGAAAACUGAUAUCAUGUAUCAGUAAGGUAUUAGUUGUUUAGUUGAUGUACUGAUACAUGUUUGAAAAUUGUUAUAAUGUAUCAUUCACUAAGUUUAAUAAAUGCGUCAUCAACUGUACUUGAUGAUACAUAUAGAAUCAGUGUGUAUAUUGUUUAGUCGAUGUUUCUGAUACAUGCAUUAGAUACGAAAUUGAAUCUCCAACAACGAUUCCGUCGAUUUUGUAACUUUCAUACUGCAAUUCGUUCACCUAAAUUCCGGAAUGUCUCAUCAAAAUCGAAGUAUUCAUCUUGAAAAAUCCACUGUAACAACAAUAAAAUUACUGUAGUUCGAAAUUUAACAGAUUGUUCAAAAAAAUUGUUUUCAAAAUAGAUGACAUAAUCUUUGUUUUUCAAAAUUUGAAAUUAAUAUCCAAUUAAGUGCUUAUUUUAUGCUGAUUAAUGAUAUGUUACCGUAAAUUUAGCUGUUUUAUUAACAACAUUAACUGUACCGUUUUCCCCCUUUUUUUUCUCAACAGUUUAAAAUUACCAUGUAUCAUUUACCUUGUAUCACGAGAGUCUAAAGUAUCACGGCUCAACAAAUUUAAGAGAUUUUUUGUAAAUACUAAAUUUGUCUGGACAAAAUGAAAUUAUUGAAUUACACUAUAGGAUUCCUUAAAUUUUUACUUAUAUUAAUCUUUAGUAUGGGGACCUAAAUAUUUAACUUUCCAAUUCCUUUAGGGGUCAAUUUGAUUGAUUAUAAUGAGUGAAUUAUACUAUAAAAAUUGAAAUAAUAAUUAAUGUUUGUAGAGCAUAUUAAAUUAUUUUAUCAUGACUACAGUUGGUGUUAAUUGAAUUGGAAAUAAGAUAUAUACGGUAUAUAAUAUAUAUAGAAAUUUUAAUUUGAUUCGUUGAUUUUGUAUUUUCAGACAAAUUUUAUUUUUAAUUUUACCUUUCUUAAAGAACUUUUAGUUUGGUUGUUUUAUCAUGGAAUUAGCUAAUUAUUAAUCUAGAGAAUUGCUAUUCCAUAUACAACUUUGGUACAAUUAGAGAAUUAUAAUAUAAUUAAUUUCAAAAUUACUUAUAUUUAGGAACAAAAGUUUCAAUCAAACGAUAAAUAAUUGAAUAUUUUAUCUCAGAAUUAGUAUUAUUAUUAUUAAUACUAAUUAACGAUCCUAAGUUUCGAUUUUGUCACUCCGGUCCUUUUCUUUUAAUCUUUUCACAAACCAACUACAUUUGAUUGCAUUAACUAUAAAGUCCAUUUGCAUUAUUUUACAUAUCAAUUAAUAUUACUAAACUAAAUUUAUCUAUAAUUACUGAUUUAAAUGUAUACCUAUUUUCUCACCAACAUGGCAUAUAUAUUAGACUCAUUAAAAUUAAACGUUGCUUCAUGUGGUGUGUUCAAUUGGUUAGACUAUCUCGUCAAAUAUAUUGUUCGCAAAUAAACAAUGCUCAAAUGAAUGAUAUUAAUGUUGUUGGUGAAUAUUACAAGCUUCUCGUAACGUUUUGUUAGCUUACGUAUGAAUGUGCAAUAUUAUUUCUACUUAUUUUGUCAAACACUAAAAAAGUAAGUAAAAAACUUGUUUAUGUGAGAUAAUAUUUUUCUUUGUACCUAAAAAGUGCAUUAAUUUAUAUAGCUAAAAUAGUGCAAAGUUGAGGCCUCCACGCAUUAUUUUUGGUGAGAAGAAGAAUGAGAAGACUUUCUAUCUCUUUGAAUUAUUGCAUCACAAACAGUAUAGCUGCCUUAAUAGUUUAUUCAUUUGCUUAGCUUAAUGCCUCUAUCCAUCAAAUUAAAUAUACAACUAACAAGACAAAACCAAAUGAAAAUGCAUAACUCUAGGAUUUUACCUACAUUUGUAUAAAUUUUGGUAAGGGUAUCUGUCUAAAUGAAAACUAUAUAAAGGGGUUUGAGUGAAGCUUAAGAUGACAACAACUUUCUCCUUUGUUUCGAAUAUGGGGAAAAUGGCCUUUCUAGUUGCCACCCUUUUAGUGGUUUUAGUGUCACUUAGCUUAGCAUCUGAAAUUUCAGCUAAUUAUCAAUACUCAUCUCCCCCACCACCAAAGGAGCCAUACCACCCUUCACCAACACCAUAUCAUCCCACACCAGUUUACAAUUCUCCACCACCACCAAAAGAGCCAUACUACCCUCCACACACUCCAGUGUACAAGUCGCCACCACCCUCGACACCUAUUUACAAGUCGCCACCACCACCCAAAGAGCCAUACUACCCUCCACACACCCCUGCCUACAAGUCACCACCUCCACCAACUCCAGUUUACAGGUCGCCACCACCUCCCAAGGAGCCAUACUAUCCUCCACACACACCAACCUACAAGUCGCCACCUCCACCAACUCCCGUUUACAAGUCACCACCACCUCCAAAGGAACCAUACUACCCUCCACAUGCACCAACCUACAAGUCGCCACCACCUCCCAAGGAGCCAUACUACCCUCCCCACACCCCAACCUACAAGUCCUCACCUCCACCAACUCCGUUUUACAAUUCACCACCACCUCCCAAGGAACCAUACUACCCUCCUCACACACCAACCUACAAGUCGCCACCCCCACACAAGGAUCCAUACUACCCUCCACACACACCAACCUAUAAGUCACCACCUCUACCAACUCCUGUUUACAAGUUGCCACAACCACCCAAGGAGCCAUAUUACCCUCCACACACACCAACCUACAAGUCACCACCUCCACCAACUCCCAUUUACAAGUCACCACCACCUCCCAAGGAGCCAUACUACCCUCCACACACACCAACCUACAAGUUACCACCUCCACCAACUCCCGUUUAUAAGUCGUCGCCACCACCAUCCAAAGAGCCAUACUACCCUCCACACACACCAACCUACAAGUCACCACCUCCACCACCUCCCGUUUAUAAGUCUCCACCACCACCCAAGGAGCCAUACUACCCUCCACACACACCGACCUACAAGUCACCACCUCCACCAACUCCCGUUUACAAGUCCCCACCACCUCCUAAGGAGCCAUACUACCCUCCACACACACCGACCUACAAGUCACCACCUCCACCAACUCCCGUUUACAAGUCCCCACCACCUCCUAAGGAGCCAUACUACCCUCCACACACACCAACCUACAAGUCACAACCUCCACUAACUCCCGUUUAUAAGUCGUCGCCACCACCACCCAAGGAGCCAUACUACCCUCCACACACACUAACCUACAAGUCACCACCUCCACCAACUCCUGUUUAUAAGUCGCCACCACCACCCAAGGAUCCAUACUACCCUCCAAACACCCCAACUUACAAGUCGCCACCUCCACCAACUCUCAUUUACAAGGUUCCACCACCAGCCAAGGAGCCAUACUACCCUCCACACACACCGACCUACAAGUCACCACCUCCACCGACUCCCCUUUAUAAGUCCCCACCACCUCCUAAGGAGCCAUACUACCCUCCACACACACCAACCUACAAGUCACCACCUCCACCAACUCCCGUUUAUAAGUCGUCGCCACCACUACCCAAGGAGCCAUACUACCCUUCACACACACCAACCUACAAGUCACCACCUCCACCAACUCCCGUUUAUAAGUCUCCACCACCAACCAAGGAUCCAUACUACCCUCCACACGCCCCAACCUACAAGUCGCCACCUCCACCACCUCCCACUUACAAGUCGCCACCACCACCAAAGGAGCCAUACUACCCUCCACACACACCAACCUACAAGUCAUCACCUCCACCAACUCUCAUUUAUAAGUUGUUGCCACCACCACCCAAAGAGCCGUACUACCCUCCACACACACCAACCUACAAGUCACCACGUCCACCAACUCCCAUUUAUAAGUCGUCGCCGCCGCCACCCAAGGAGCCAUACUACCCUCCACACACACCAACCUACAAGUCACCACCUCCACCAACUCCCGUUUAUAAGUCGCCACCACCACCCAAGGAUCCAUACUACCCUCCACACACCCCAACCUACAAGUCGCCACCUCCACCAACUCCCGUUUACAAGUCGCCACCACCACCCAAGGAGCCAUACUACCCUCCUCACACACCAACCUAUAAGUCACCACCUCCACCAAGUCCCGUUUACAAGUCGCCACCACCACCCAAGGAUCCAUACUAUCCUCCACACACCCCAACCUACAAGUCGCCACCUCCACCAACUCCCGUUUACAAGUCGCCACCACCACCCAAGGAGCCAUACUACCCUCCUCACACACCAACCUAUAAGUCACCACCUCCACCAAGUCCCGUUUACAAGUCGCCACCACCACCCAAGGAGCCAGACUACCCUCCACACACCCCAUCCUACAAGUUACCACCUCCACCAAUUCCCAUUUACAAGUCGCCACCACCACCAACUCCUGCCUACAACUCUCCUCCACCACCUUACUAUCUUUACACCUCUCCCCCUCCUCCCUACCAUUACUAAAAAGCCACUUCAUUAUAUCGAGGUAAUUAAGACAAACUAAAACUAUUACUAAUGAUGUGUCUAAAAUGCAAAGCAAUAAGUUGCUCAAUUUCCUCAUGCAAAUCAUUAAUAUAUAGACCUAUGCAGUCUAUAUUCUUAUUUGGAUAACUUUAAUUACAUGUUCUCAUUCACAAAAUUAUAUUCUUAUGCAGGAAAAGCAAAAUGUUGAGCUUAAAGAAAGGCAUUUUACAUUUUCGAGAGACGAUGAAAAAAGAAGAAAACUAUAGUAAAUAAUAAGCCCCACAUAAGUCGAAGUUCUUUUGUAGCUUCAUGUUAUCUAAGCUAGUGAUACUGUUUGUACUCUAUUAUUUAUAUUUGUAUUUUUACUUUUAUGUCUUUCUGUAUGUUUGCUCAGUUUUAAUAUCCUAGCAAAAUGCAAAGAUUAAUUAUGAGAUGAAUAAAAUAAGUUAUUACUAUUAUACAGUUUUAUGUUUUCCUUCUCUCUGAUCUAUUCGAUCUUAAUUAGUCCUUUUUUUGGUCUUAUUUCUUCAUCUUUAUAUCGAAGGCGAGGCUCAACGAUUACAUUAAAUCAAUCAUCAUACAGAUAAAAUUGAUGACAAAUUUAACGUUAAGAUAUCAUCAAAAUCUCAAUAACAAUUUACAGAUCGAAAUCUUAGUAUCGAUUGAUUAAUAACCUAAACUUUCGCCAUGAAGACUUGAAUCCCUAAUCCCGUCCUUCAUUUCCCAUAUCUCUACCCACACAUUAUCUUUUAAGAAAGAAGAAGUAACAACCAAAAUAAACAUUAUAUCUAAAGUGAUAAUAUGAUAACAAUACAAAUAGGCAACAAUACAAUUAAAGAAAAAAAAAAAAGUUACUCCCACGAUGUCAACACGUAUGCUAGACUGACCAAUAAAGUUAGACAAAUUUCAAAAUUGACAAUAGCAAAGUAUACGUACGUAGCAUAUAGCAACCAAUCAAUGAAUAAAUUAUUCCUAAAGUAGUCAUUAUCAUCUCAUAUACUAUAUUUGGUAAAAUACUAAGAUUAAGUCAACAUAAUUCAGUCUACCGUUUGGUAAUUUAUAACAAAUAGUGACAAUAUUAAUAAAGUGAUUGGUGCUCUCUUUUGGCCCACCCCCAAGAAGAUCGUGAACGCAUAUUUUAAAUUUGAUUUGAUUACCACUUUUUAAUAUCUUUAAAAUAAAACUUGUAUAUUUAAAAAAUUAAAAAUUAUUAUUAUUAUUUAAUUAUAUAAAUAAAAUAUUUUAAAAUACAUUAGUAUCUUAAUAGAGAAAAGAUUAAAAAAUUAAAAAUUAUUAUUAUUAUUUAAUUAUAUAAAUAAAAUAUUUUAAAAUACAUUAGUAUCUUAAUAGAGAAAAGAUUGUUUGUUUGAUUUUCUAAAGUAACAGAGUCGGAUGAGAUAGUUGAUUAAUUUGACGGUUUGAAUAAUAUAAUCUUCUUGAUAAAUAAUCAUCAACCCAUCAUGCAUGUUUUAUAUUUAUUGAUAGAAACUUUGAUGGAUUGAUUUGUUGGUGCCGCCUCAACAUAGAGAAAAGAAAAAGAACAAGUUAUUUCAAUCUAUUACACUUUAGAGAUUAAAAAAAACAUUUUUUAAAGCAGUGAUAAAAUUGAUAAUAAUAAGUUGUUAAUAUGUUUGGCAAAAAGAGUGUCGAUUAACUAUUUUUUGCUAUAGUAUUGAAAUAUCUUUAGAUUUUUUAACCCCCAAAAAAGGUUUAAAACUACCUCUGUAAAGAAAAGGAGUUUAUUUUUAGAAAAUAUAUCUCGAGAAAUAAAGUAAGAUAAAGGAUAAAAUCGUGAAAGAAAAAUGUUGAUAAGCAAACAAAAAAAUCAAAGUUAGGAAUGACCAAUUUAUUGAAUAUAACUAAAUUGUCUUAAAUAAGCAACUUAGCUUAUAAAUAUAUAUAUAAAAUUAUUUUUAUAUCAGUUUGAUCAAUUAAUAAUAAAUUGAUUAUGCAUGAAAUAAUAGGAAGUGUUCUAAUUAAAAAGAAUACAAGGAAAAAGGUGCAGUAUUGUGUACGAUCGACCAAACAUACAUUCGUUAUUAAUUAUUAUUAAGCUAAUUAGACAACGCUAUCUUAUUAAUUUAUUAUAGAGCUGUCGAUAUUAGUUUAGAUAAUUAAAUUAUAUAAAAUUCAUUUAAUUCAAUCAAAGCUUGACUUGUUAAAUGUUAGGUUUAUGAUAUGAUUAAUUAUAUAUAUAAUUCACUAUGAUUUUACGCGACUUGUUAAUCAAGACCUUAUUUAACAUAUUGAUUAAGUUAUUAGUUAUAUAACUAAUAAAAAUAUAUUUUAAAUAAUAAAUGGUUAUUGAGAGAAAACUUCCAUGCAAUUAUCAUAAUAAGAAACUUCUUAAGAAAUUGUCUCUAAUUAGAUAAUUGGAUGGUGACUCUUUUGUUUAAAAAAAAUUGAAUCAAUCAAGAUUUUAUUGCUAUUAAUUGUGAACUACAAUUUGUAGAAGGGGAGCAUAAACCUAGAUAUUAACUAUGCACAACAUGAGUGUGCAAGAUUAUUUUGUUUAUUUAUUUUGAUUCAAUUCAGUAUCCGAUAUUCAUAUUAGAUUCUCAAUCAAAUUUGUAUUUACAUUAAAAAAAUUCAGUGCUCCUUAACAGAGGCAACAACUCUGUACUCAGGAGAACUCGAAUUCGAGACCUCUAAACAAGAAUAAAGAAGUAUUUGUUAUUCCAUAACAAUUUUUAUUGAUAAAAGAAACUCGUAGUAUCAUGAAAAGAUAAUAGAUUAUCUAGGCCUAAUGGAAAAUUCAGUCAAGCUUUAGAGGGAAAAUUAUGGCAUAGCAAAGUUACAAACUUUAUAGUAUGAUUAACUUAAUUACAAGACCGUUAAAUUGAAUGCAACCCCAAUAACUUUUCUUUCAAUAAAUAUUUGGCCUUUGUGAGCUUUAUUUGAACUCUCUCUUCCUUCAUAAACUUGACCAUCAGCAAUAUUUUCCUUUCCUCUUUUAUUUUAUUGCUCACUCGAUAGUCAGCUUUUAAGAUUGACUUGAUGUUUCGAUAAGCGAAAGGUGUAAAUCCAGAUUAUGCUCAAGUAUCUAAGUGAUAUAUGAAUUGCAAACUUUUUGCAUAUGCAUUUGAGAAGAAAAUAAUUAUCACAAGAAAAUAAAUAAUUAGCAUGCGGUAAAUUAUUAACGUAGUUAAAUAAUGUUAUAGUCUUAUAAAUUAAAAUAAAGACAAGGCAACAAUUGUCACUAAUUAUUUGUAUUGUUAGCAACAAAAACUAAGAGAACAUAAAUAAUAUAUACUUAAUGGCUCAAUUUUACACCAUUUCACUAUAAAUAACUUUAUGUCGCUAAUUUGAUUACAUAUUUUUGUGACGAAACUUAUUUUGUAUCCAAACUUAAACGAAUUUAAAGAUAAAUAUGAUUUAUCAUAAAUAUUCAGUAAAAACAGGGAGAAAAUUUAUCAUCAUCAAUAUCCUCAAUUUCGUCGCUAAAAUUACCUUACAAUUUGAUUUAAUUAUAAAUUGAAAAUCAAAUUUAAAAAUGAUUAAAUUUGUGAUGUUGGUGCAAAAUGCACGUAUCAAAUUAAACCCACCUUUAGGUCUAAGAAAAUGGUGAGCACAUCUUAACCAUUAUUCUUCAACUCAUUUCAUCUCUUCCUCAAUUAAUUAUGCAAAUAAUAAAAAUAUUUCUUUUUCCAUUCAAUGUCUGUGUUUUAUAUUGAAGUUCCAAUUAACUCUAGAUUAGAAACCGGAGGCGAGGGCACAUUUAAAGGUGAUGCUUCCUAUACGACUCAUGUAGUAAAAAAAAUUAUAAAAAAAACCACCACAAUAAUUAUAUACGCUUCAAAAAAAAGAAGAGAAUAGAAUAGCAUCCUAUUCAUAGAGAAAACUAUACUUGAUAGUUAACUGGUAGCAAAACUUUUGCACAAGAUUAAUUAUAUUUGUAUAGUUGAUUUAUUCAAGGUUUUAAUUAGAAGAGGUCUAGGAUUCUAUUUAUUUUUAUCCAUAUUUUUUAAACAAUAAAUUUGCUACAAAAGGAUGUCUGUGACAAAUCAUGUCUCCUAAAUAUAAGCACUUGUGUGAAGGUUAGUUGAGUGUAAAGUUGAGGCAUCCACGCAUUUUUUUUUUCAAAGGUUCUGUAAAAAGAAAACAAGAUUUUGUAGCUCUUUGAAUCAUUCUGUCACAAACAGUAUAGUUCCCUUAAUAGUUUAUACAUUUGCUUAGGAUGAUGCCUCUAUAUAUCUAUCAAAUUAAAUAUACAAACUAAAGUCAAAAUUGAGCCAACAACAUGUCAAGACUAAAUAAACAUAUGCAUAACUCUACCAUAUUACCUACAUUUGUAUAAAUUUUGGUAAGGGUAAUUUCUAAAUGAAGUCUAUAUAAAGGGGUUUGGGUGAAGCUUAAGAGGACAAAAACUUCUCUCCUUUGUUUCAAAUAUAGGGAAAAUGGCCUCUCUAGUUGCAACUCUUUUAGUGGUUUUAGUGUCACUUAGCUUACCAUCCGAAAGUUCAGCUAAUUAUCAAUACACAUCUCCCCCACCACCAAAGGAGUCAUACCACCCUUCACCAACACCUUAUCAUCCCGUACCACUUUACAAGUCUCCACCACUGCCAACUCCAGUUUACAAUUUUCCACCACCACCCAGAGAGACGUACUACCCUCCACACACUCCAGUGUACAUGCCGUCACCACCCUCGACACAAAUUUACAAGUCGCCACCACCACCCAAGGAGCCAUAUUACCCUCCACACACCCCAACCUACAAGUCGCCACCUCCACCAACUCCUAUUUACAAGUCUCCACCGCCGCCAACUCCCUUUUACAAUUCUCCACCACCACCCAAGGAGCCAUACUACACUUCGCCACCUCCACCAACUCCUACUUACAAGUACCCACCGCCACCAACUCCGGUUUACAAUUCUCCACCACCACCUAAGGAGCCAUACUACCCUCCACACACCCCAACCUACAAGUCGCCACCUCCACCAACUCCUGCUUACAAGUCUCUACCGCCGCCAAUUCCAGUUCACAAUUCUCCACCAUCACCCAAGGAGCCAUACUACCCUCCACACACCCCAACCUACAAGUCGCCACCUCCACCAACUCCUGCUUACAAGUCUCUACCGCUGCCAAUUCCAGUUCACAAUUCUCCACCAUCACCCAAGGAGCCAUACAACCCUCCACACACCCCAACCUACAAGUCGCCACCUCCACCAACUCUUGCUUACAAGUCUCCACCGCCACCAACUCCGAUUUACAAUUCUCCACCACCACCCAAGGAGCCAUACUACCCUCCACAUACCCCAACCUACAAGUCGCCACCUCCACCAACUCCCAUUUACAAGUCGCCACCGUCACCAACUCCGGUUUACGAUUCUCCACCACCACCCAAGGAGCUAUACUACCCUCCACACACCUCAACCUACAAGUCGCCACCACCACCGAAUGAGCCAUACUACCCUCCACACACACCAACAUACAAGUCGCCACCUCCACCAAUUCCAAUCUACAAGUCACCACCUCUUCCAACUCCUAUUUACAAGUCGCCACCACCACCCAAGGAGCCAUACUACCCUCCACAUACUCCACUUUCACCGUCUUCAGUUUAUAAGUCUCCACCUCCACCAACUCAUGUUUACAAGUCGCCGCCACCACCUAUAGAGCCAUACUACCCUCCACACACCCCAAUCUAUAAGUCGCCACCUCCACCGAUUCCUGUUUACAAUUCACCACCUCCACUAACUCCAGUUUAUAAGUCACCACCACCACCCAAAGAGCCUCACUACCCUCCACACACCCCAGUGUAUAAGUCACCACCACCACCCAAGGAGCCAUACUAUUCUCCACAAAAUCCAGUCUACAAGUCGCCACCUCCACCAACUCCCAGUUACAAGUCGCCAACACCACCCAAGGAGCCAUAUUAUCCUCCACAUACCCCAACUUACAAGUCACCACCUCCACCAACUCCAGUAUACAAGUCGCCGCCACCACCCAAGGAGCCAUACUACCCUCCACACACCCCGACCUACAAGUCGCCACCACCACCGAAGGAGUCAUACUAUCCUCCACACACCCCAACCUACAAGUCACCACCUCCACCAACUCCUGUUUCCAGCUCUCCACCACCACCAACUCCAGUCUACAAGUUUCCACCACCAACAGAUUAUGUUUACACCUCUCCCCCUCCUCCCUACUAUUACUAAGAAGAGAUUUCAUUAUAUCUAAGGUAAUUAAACCAAACUAAAACUUUUAAUUAUGAUAUGUCUAUAGAAGUUGCACAAUUUCUUCGUUCGAAUAAUUAAUAUAGACCUGUAUACUGUCUACAUCUUAUUUGGUUUAGGUUCUAUUAUAUGUUCUCAUUCACAAUACUAAUUAUAUUCUUAUGCAGGAAAGAUGCAGAAUGUUGAGCUAAAAGAAAAUAAGCCCACACAGGAGGCAAAGUUUUUUUGUAGCUUCAUUUUGUAUAAGUUAUUGUUUGUACCCUAUAUUAUAUUUAUAUUUUACUUCUAUUUAUUUGUGUAAUAUGUUUGUUCGAUCUCCUUGCAACAUGCAGCCAUUAUGAGAUGUAUAAAAUAUGUUAUUACUAUAUAUACUGUCUUUUUUCUUAUUUUUGUCAUCCCUUAUAUUGAGUUAUAUUUAUAAGUUGAGCCUCUUAUCAAUUACAUUAAAUCAGUUGCUAUAAAAAAUGUGGUUUUUCACCACCAAUAAGUUCAACGAUAAGCUACAAUCAACUGGGAAUAUUAGUAGCUUCAAUAGAAAAUGUUAAUAGCUCCGUUGAUUAGUUAUUUGAACUUUUUAUCUUUAUUACACGUCGCAAUAACAAUCAAUGUAAAUAUUAUAUCUAACCUCUGGACUUAUGCCCACAUAAUUCCUCAAUGCACCCACACAAAAUAUUGAAAUUAAAUAUUAUUACUUGCCUAUUUCUCUUAUCUUGAUUAUUAGUUUUCAGGGAUGAAAGUUUAAUUGUUACACCUUUCACUUUUUUAAAAAAAAAAAAAAGGAAUGGACAACCAACUGAUUUCGUAUCUGAUUGUAGUUGUUGAAGGCAUAUUGUAAUAAUUAAAUUUUCGUUUUUGAAAAAUAAUAAUCAAAAAAUAGAAAAUAUCAAUAAAUAAUAAUAUUUAAUUUUAUUUAUUUGUGCACGAUUUAACAAUCAUUAGAGAUUUCACACUAAAAUGUUUAAUUUUUUUGUUUUUUCUUUUUUUCUCUUCAUGACUAUCAACUCAAAAGUUUUGCUUUUUACCUGAAUUGAUGGAAUACUUGUUGAAAGUUUACCACGAAUGCAUAAUCAAUUUUUAAUCACAUUCGAGGAGGCAUAAAACGACUCACAACUUGAAGGCAAAAAAGAGUUGUAUGCAGAAGACUGCAAAUCAUUAUUGAAUAUUUUUUUAUAUAGGCAUCAGCUAGGGUUUGAAAUAUUUGAUCUAAUCGACUUUAGGUUUGAGAAUAUGAGUUGUGUUGGAUUAGACUUGUAAAUUUAAUAAUGGACUAACCUAAAUUUAAUCGAAAAAUUACCUAACUACAUAUAUAUUUUUUUAUCCUAUUUUCUAUUAUUUCAUAUAAUUUAUAAAAAUUACAAAAAUCUUUUUUUUCUCUCAAAUUCGCUCCUUUCAAGAUUCAUAACUUUAAAUCUUCCAACUCACAAUUUCUCCUUUUUCUCAGGCCUAUAAUCGCUCUACUAUAUUACUAGUUACCUUCAUCUCCUAUAUUUUGAAUUUUAGAUAUUUUUCUCUCUCCCGUUUAUAAUUUAAUUGAGUAUGUAUCAUAUGUUUGUUAUGUAUGUGAAGUACUAUUUUAUAACUAAAUCAUUGUUUAUCAUAUUCAUAAGUUUUUUUUAUAUGAUACAUAGCUAUGUCAAAUUAUACCGGCAUGAUACAUAAAUACUAAUUUAUGCUACAUGUAACGAUCUCAAAUCAAACAACUUAUGAGCAACAAUUACAUGUUAAAUGUAUCCCGUAACAAUACGAUACUUAUUAAUUUAAACGAGAUAAAUAAAUAGUAAUGUAUCAUGUAUUAGUUUUUAGAUGUGAUACAUAAAUUCGAAUUUGGACUACAUGUAUUAAUUACAUAGAAACUACCACGCGGUGAUGUAUCCAUCACAAAUGUAACAUCUUAUGGGCAACAAUUACUUAUUUAAUGUAUCUACUAUAAAUACAAUACUAAUCAAUUGAGACGAGAUACACAAAUAGUAAUGUAUCAUGCAAAAAAAUUUUUUACUUGAUAUGUGAAUUCGAAUUUAUACUAAAUGUAUCAAUUACAUAGCAACUACCACAUUGUAAUGUAUCGAUCUCGAAUUCAACAUCUUAUGGACUAUAAUUAUUUAUUUAGUGUAUUUAGUAUAAAUACAAUACUUAUCAAUUUAAACAAGAUACAUAAAAGUAAAAUGCUAAGUAGACAAGAUAUUCAUGAUAAUAUUCUCAAUUUUUUUGAGAUUCUUCAAUAAACUAGGAGAAGAAUUCUGAAUCUCAAAAUUUACAACAAUUUUGAAUCAAAAUUAAAAAGAUCUUUGAUGAACUGGAGAACAAAGAAUCUUAAUCUCAAAAUUUUUAACAAUCUUGAAUCAAAACUGAAAGGAAUAUCUUUGAUGAUCUUGAAGAUUCAAAAGAAAAUUGUUUAUCCAACAACAAUUUUGUCACUUUUGUAUCAUUCAUAAUUCACUUCGCUUACCCAAAAUUUCGACAAAAGUUUUUGGAUCAAAUGUGAAAGGUUUCUUUGUUGAACGGGGGGAUCAACUAGAAAUUUUAAAUUUCUUCGUUCUGUAUGGAUUUGAUUCUGUAUGAUUGAGAGUAAAAAGAAAUAUAAGCGUAAUUUAUGGAAUUUAAUUAGUUUUCAGAUUUUAUUUUCUUUUUAGCGCAACAGAAAGAUUCUUUUUGUAUUAAAAUUAGUGUAUCUAGAUGGUGGUGACUUAUGUAUUUGUUGAAGGAAGCUGAUGGAACAGGUUUGGUAGUAUAUGACUUUUUUCCUAUAUAAGGAUGAUGUAACUCAAUCAUUCAUUCAUCAAUAUAAUCCUUGAUUCUUCACAUACAUAUCUGUGAGAAUUCUACAUCCGAAAGGUACAAAUUUUAACGGAUCAUUUUAUUAGAAAAAAAUAGAGAUAAAAUAUAAUGUAUUCUUUACAUUACGAAGUUUACGUAAGUUAAUCAAAUUUGAUUAAACUUCCCUUAAAUCAUAAAAGUUUAACUUAAUAUUAUUCCAACUUUAUUAUAGAUAUAUAUAAUUGGAAAAAAAAACAAACAAAAUAGAACAUAAGAUCUCGAUCGCUGGACAAAUGUUUGUCUAUAAUAAAUAAAUAUGUCGGUAAUAAUUAUUGACUAGGUCAAUGUAGCUAAGGUUUGUACUUGUUUAUACUUACAUCCUAUCUCUUGGGACGAUUAAAAAAAUAUUAGUUUAGCUUAUUUAAUAAUGGAAUCUUAUAUGGAGUUUACUAAUUUUAUCUUUGUCGGUGAUUAAGUUAUACAAAUGAUUAAUUAUUUUUCUAAUUAAAAAGUCAAAAGUCAUUAUUGGAUGAACCAAGAAUCUUCCAUGUAUUUGAAUACUUUUUCUGUCUCCCUUAAAUCGUGAUGGCUUUUUUGUAAGUUAAAUAAUAAAAAAUUUUAUUAAUGUUUUGUUGAUAUAAGAAAUUAUAAAAUAAGUAUUUUUGUAUAAUAUAUUUAAAUUUUUAAUUUAAAUUUAAAUUUUAAAAAUUAGUUAUAUUAACUGUUAAAAAACCGUACAACGACUAAAACGGGACGGCUUGUUCUCUUCUUUCUUUUAUUAUAAAUAAAAAUAAAAAUUUAACUAAUGUGCAAUCAAUAAUGUUAAUUAUUUAUUCAAAGUUUAAAUUAAACACAUAAAAGUGAAAAGUAUAAAGCCUUCAACCGAUUCGAUUCAUUUAAUUAUGUUUCUUAAGAUAUUCCAUAUUUUCAAAUUUUAAAGAGAACUAUAAAUUCCUACAUUUAAAACUACAUACAUUAUUAAAAUGUGCCUAUAUAACACGCAUUUAAAUUAGUUGUGCUCAAAUAUAGAUAUCAAACAAGGAAUAAAACAUAAAGUGAAUUACUUAAACUAUAAUUAUAUAUUAAGUAAUUAAAUCAAAUCGUGUAAUUUAAUUAAUUAUACUACCAAAAUAUUAACUUCAACGAUAUGAAGUAACGCAAUGUACCUUUAAAGUUUCACAAAAUUUAAUUAGGUUGUAAGGUUUGAUUCUUGAAAUUUAGAAAUUAUUUUCAAGUGAUUUGAGUACAUUGAAAGUACCUAAGUCAAUAAAGUCAAAAAUAAAUUAAUUUUUACUUUGUAUCGUGACCUGUAUUCUACAUCUUGUGUGUUCCCACGAUAAUAAACUAAGAUACCAAAAAUUUCAUAGAUAUUAUAUUUAAUCAUAUAAAUUUUUUCAAUAUUGAGCUACAUAAUCCGUUGAAUUUUUUGCCCUCUAUUCCCACCUAAAACUAAAAAGAAAGAACAACAUUAAUUGCUUUAUUUAGUAAUGAAAGUGGGUCAUUAUAUAUAUAUAUAUAUAUAUAUAUAUAUAUAUAUAUAUAUAUAUAUAUAUAUAUAUAUAUAUAUUAUUUUAUUUUAUUUUAUUUUAUUUUUUUGACAACUAGGGAAACCUGAGCCGCUAUCCUAUAAAAUAGCUCGCAAAUCACAUAGGAGAGGUAACCUGCACUAGGCAAGCCUGGUGCAACGAGCUUGACCCAGAAGGCAAAUCUCUUGCUUUCGCUGGCAAGGGGUUUCAAACUUGAGACCUCCAAUAUGGAAGUUUCAAGCUCAAACCAUUGGGCCACCCCGAAGGGUUAUAUAUAUAUAACUUUUAGUAAUAUUAGAUAUUGACAUUAAUAAAGAGUGUUAAAGUCUUUAUCGGUAUCAGUUAAGUGUCAUUAGAACCAAUGUUGCUAAAGGCUUUAGGGACACAUACAAAGAAAGUUAUUGCCGCUAAAAACACUUAUUUGGCGACGUUUGAAAAUUAAUUGCCAAUAAUGAUUAUUUUUAAUAUAGUGUAUAUAUGUAUUAUUGUUUUAAAUCUCUAUACUAUUUAAGCACUAAAGGUAAUUAAAGGUUAGUUUAUCAAUCAAAAUCAAAAAAAAAUAAAUUGUUACUCCCUUAGUUCGUUUCAUAGUAGUUGAUCAUCUUACUAAAAAUAAUUGUUACACAUUAAUUGUCCAUCUUAUUAAAUCAAGAAAUCAAUAAUUAAUUUUUUCCUAUAUUAUCUAUUCAGAUAAUUCUUUUGAAAGUAUUAACAUUUGUUUGUAAAAUGUAAAAGAAGUUUUCAAGGGGUGAAUUAAUAAAAUUAUCUAGCUAGUUAAUAAAAAUGAUGGGUGAAAUAAUAUUAUCUAGCUACUUAAUAAAAAUAAUCAACUAAUAUGAGACACAUAAAAAUAGAAUUCUUCAAAUAUUUUGUAACAAAAAAAAAAAGAAAAAAGGCAGUGUACACUGAUUUUUGUAACUAAAAAUCGUGCGAAGUUGAGGGAUGCACGCAUUUUUUUCAAAGAUUUUGUAUGUAUGUAAUGUAAAAGCUUGGAAGAAAAAGAAGACUUUGUAGCUCUUUGAAUUAUUGCAUCACAAGAUGUAAAGAAAAUUGUAUGGUUGUCUUAAUAGUUUAUACAUUUUUGCUUAGCUUGCACCCUCUAUCCAAUAAAUAAAGUCAAAUUGAGCCAACAACAUGACAAAACCAAUUAUAAAAAUGAAUAAAAACUUUACCUACAUUUAUGUAAAUCUUGGUAAGGGUAAUUGUCGAAAUGAAAGCUAUAUAAAGGGGUUUGAGUGAAACUUAAAGAGGACACCAACUUCUCUUCUUUGGUUUCAAAUAUGGGGAAAAUGGCCUCUCUAGUUGCUACUCUUUUAGUGGUUUUAGUGUCACUUAGCUUUGCUUCCGAAAGCUCAGCAAACUAUCAAUACUCAUCUCCUCCACCACCAAAGAAGCCAUACCACCCUUCACCAACACCUUAUCAUCUCGCACCAGUUUACAGAUCACCACCACCACCAACUCCACUUUACAAGUCACCACCACCACCUAAGGAGCCACACUAUCCUCCACACACCCCGGUUUACAAGUCGCCACCUCCUCCAGCUCCAAUUUACAAGUCACCACCACCACCGGUGAAGCCAUACCAUCCAGCACCAGUUUAUAAGUCACCACCACCCCCUACGCCUGUUUACAAGUCACCACCACCACCAGUGAAGCCACACCAUCCUGCACCAGUAUACAAGUCUCCACCACCACCAACUCCAGUUUAUAAGUCACCACCUCCUCCAACACCCGUUUACAAGUCACCACCACCACCAGUGAAGCCAUACCAUCCUGCACCAGUAUACAAGUCACCACCACCUCCAACACCCAUUUACAAGUCACCACCACCACCAGUGAAGCCAUACCAUCCUGCACCAGUAUACAAGUCACCACCACCUCCAACACCCGUUUACAUGUCACCACCACCACCAGUGAAGCCAUACCAUCCUGCACCAGUAUACAAGUCACCACCACCUCUAACACCCGUUUACAAGUCACCACCACCACCAGUGAAGCCAUACCAUCCUGCACCAGUAUACAAAUCUCCACCACCACCAACUCCAAUUUACAAGUCACCUCCACCACCAGUGAAGCCAUACCAUCCUGCACCAGUAUACAAGUCUCCACCACCACCAACUCCAGUUUAUAAGUCACCACCACCACCGGUGAAGCCAUACCAUCCUACACCUGUGUACAAGUCUCCACCACCACCAACUCCUGUUUACAUGUCCCCACCACCACCAGUGAAGCCAUACCAUCCUACACCUGUGUACAAUUCUCCACCACCACCAACUCCCGUUUACAUGUCCCCACCACCACCAGUGAAGCCAUAUCAUCCUACACC
Molecule: long non-coding RNA, 23787 nt
Filed under: Solanum melongena (eggplant)
Lineage: Eukaryota; Viridiplantae; Streptophyta; Magnoliopsida; Solanales; Solanaceae
Description: long non-coding RNA (SMEL_LNC000097)
Source: RNAcentral